This is a long non-coding RNA of Fundulus heteroclitus (mummichog), 1214 nucleotides long. RefSeq lists it as uncharacterized. The transcript is spliced from 3 exons. The record is from RefSeq and is a predicted model, not a curated record. Lineage: Eukaryota; Metazoa; Chordata; Actinopteri; Cyprinodontiformes; Fundulidae.
CGUUGUUUUCCUUCCGGUUCAGACCUCGGUGUUGGUUGGUGCUGCACGCUAGCUGCAAAUUAAUGCAUGCGCGCAAAUGAUGCGCUAACGACGCUCUGAUCGCCGCCGCCUGUACAAGUUCUACGUUUCCUCCUUCCUUUUAGAGGCACUACAUAGAGAACUCAGCGGUAGGUGAAGUGCUGAAGUUUGGAUGCUUUUAGAUUCCAUUUCUAACAUUUAUUUUUGAUAGCCGCUGCCGUUUGUCCUUGGCCGGCUGUUUGCCCGCUGUUCUGGUUGUCCUCGACCGACGGUCCGCCUGUCAACUGGAUAAUCUGUCGGCUGCCUACCUGUCGUCCUGGUUGCUGGCUGUAGGCCCGCCGUCCUGGUCGGCGUAAAGUUGGCUCCUACCACUCGUCCAGUGUGGCUGAUUUGGGCCGAUUGGUGAUCAGCUCGGACUAAUUUUCUACUGCCGCUCUGAGUGGCGUCUGCUACAGCGGAUCGGUUUCUCCCUGGACGACUCUUAAUUUGGACUAUUGCUGCUUGAUUGUGGGCUGAACUGCAUAAUUGUAUUGUUUGUAAUUUGCAUGUCUCUCUUCUAUUUUUUUGUGAUAGGAACGGCCAGCUCGUGGUGUUGGUGGUGGACUUUCCGGGUGGUGGUACUCCUUUUUGGUUUGGUGCACGACUUUCUUUUGUUUUGCCUUGUUUCGUUUGCUGUGUUUCUUUUCUUUUAGGACACUACCCCAAAUUGCACCCCCGUCCCUGAGUUGCGCUAACACUGACUUUUAAUGUGACAAACGGCAGCGGUUCAUUUAUUUUGAGCUGGUCAUUUGUAGUAAUGGAGGAAGAGCUACUGGAAUUGAAGACCCUGGUUGCUCAAUUAAAGGCUGACAAUGAGAAGCUGCGUGCAGAGCGUUCACCUUCCACAUCUAGCUCCAGUGCCGGGCCGUCUUCAGCUUCUGCACCCCCCACCGCCCAAAUAACGGACAGGUUAGUGUUUGUUCCACGCGAUCGUAAGUGUCCUAUGUUUAGGGGACGGGUGGGGAUUAGUGUGAGCGAGUGGGUUGAGGAGGUGCAGGCGUGUAUGCGGGCACGAAAUUUGUCAGCAGUAGAUCAGGCCUUCUUUUUGUAUGACCAUUUAGAAGGAGAGGCUAGGGAUGAGGUCAAAUAUCGCUCUAGUCAGGAACGAGGGGAUCCGGCUAAAAUCAUUUCUAUCCUCAAGGAGCUUUAUGGAUGUA